Molecule: ribosomal RNA, 164 nt
Filed under: uncultured bacterium
Lineage: Bacteria
Description: partial 16S rRNA
Rfam family: Bacterial small subunit ribosomal RNA
Source: RNAcentral
UAGGGAAUCUUCCACAAUGGACGCAGGUCUGAUGGAGCAACGCCGCGUGAGUGAAGAAGGGUUUCGGCUCGUAAAGCUCUGUUGUUAAAGAAGAACGUGGGUAAGAGUAACUGUUUACCCAGUGACGGUAUUUAACCAGAAAGCCACGGCUAACUACGUGCAAG